Molecule: non-coding RNA, 125 nt
Organism: Astyanax mexicanus (Mexican tetra)
Lineage: Eukaryota; Metazoa; Chordata; Actinopteri; Characiformes; Acestrorhamphidae
Source: Rfam
UCAUGUGUGAGAGCGGUCUUGAGCACAGAACUCCGGUCUUCGUCUGAUCUCGGAAGCUAAGCAGGGUUUGGCCUGGUUAGUUACUUGGAUGGGAGACCACCUGGGAAUACCAGGUGCUGUAAGCU